Molecule: transfer RNA, 73 nt
Filed under: Felis catus (domestic cat)
Lineage: Eukaryota; Metazoa; Chordata; Mammalia; Carnivora; Felidae
Also listed under: 2 other names
Rfam family: tRNA
About the family: Transfer RNA (tRNA) molecules are approximately 80 nucleotides in length. Their secondary structure includes four short double-helical elements and three loops (D, anti-codon, and T loops). Further hydrogen bonds mediate the characteristic L-shaped molecular structure. tRNAs have two regions of fundamental functional importance: the anti-codon, which is responsible for specific mRNA codon recognition, and the 3' end, to which the tRNAs corresponding amino acid is attached (by aminoacyl-tRNA synthetases). tRNAs cope with the degeneracy of the genetic code in two manners: having more than one tRNA (with a specific anti-codon) for a particular amino acid; and 'wobble' base-pairing, i.e. permitting non-standard base-pairing at the 3rd anti-codon position.
Source: Rfam by way of RNAcentral
GCCUGGCUGGCUCAGUAAGUGGAGCAUGCAACUCUUGAUCUCAGGGUCAUGAGUUCGAGCCCCAUGCUGGGCA